RNAcentral lists this unclassified non-coding RNA (258 nucleotides) under Chytridiomycota sp. Its description in RNAcentral is "partial contains small subunit ribosomal RNA, internal transcribed spacer 1, and 5.8S ribosomal RNA". The stretch from base 1 to 47 matches the Rfam family "Eukaryotic small subunit ribosomal RNA", at positions 1785 to 1831 of the family's 1831-position model. Lineage: Eukaryota; Fungi; Chytridiomycota. The record is from RNAcentral.
AAAGUCGUAACAAGGUAACCGUAGGUGAACCUGCGGUUGGAUCAUUAAUGAAUUAUGUUUCAACGUGUAGUUGAAGCUUAAUAGGGGUGAGACCUUAAGUCGCAAGACUUUAACGGGUCUCCCUCGCUUACCCAUGUGAACUGUUUUUUAGUCAACUAUUUUUUUGACUUACCCAAACAUAAAAAGUCAUUAGAAACUAGUCUUAAUAAAAACAACUUAAUGUUGAAACAACUUUUGACAACGGAUCUCUUGGCUCUC